RNAcentral lists this ribosomal RNA (274 nucleotides) under uncultured bacterium. RNAcentral describes it as "partial 16S ribosomal RNA". It matches the Rfam family "Bacterial small subunit ribosomal RNA", at positions 523 to 796 of the family's 1533-position model. The record is from RNAcentral.
AUACGGAGGGUGCAAACGUUGCUCGGAAUUACUGGGCGUAAAGCGCAUGUAGGCGGACUAAUAAGUCACGUGUGAAAGCCCUGGGCUCAACCCAGGAAGUGCACGGGAAACUGCUAGUCUAGAGUAUGGUAGGAGUGGGCGGAAUUCCCGGUGUAGAGGUGAAAUUCGUAGAUAUCGGGAGGAACACCAGUGGCGAAGGCGGCCACCUGGACGAUGACUGACGCUCAGACCCGAAAGCGUGGGGAGCAAACAGGAUUAGAUACCCCAGUAGUCC